CCGUUAAGAGGCCAGUGUUGAUCAGUGGCUGUCCAGGCCUUUCAGAGCCACUGACACGCCGGCAGCACAAUCAUCAUGUCUCUGACUCUACUGCUGGCCACCCUGGGGCUCCUUGUUCAGGGUUCAUCAGGAGACAUCAUCCUGACUCAGUCUCCUGGAUCUCAGUCUGUUGUUCUGGGACAGACUGUCUCUAUCAGAUGUAAAGCCAGUUCAAGUGUUACUUACGACCUCCAAUGGUACCUUCAGAGAUCUGGAGAAGCUCCCAAGCUUCUUAUUUAUGAUGAUACAACACGUUAUUCAGGCGUUUCAGAUCGUUUCAGUGGAAGUGGAUCUGGGACUGACUUCACUCUGACCAUCAGUAGAGUUCAGGCUGAAGAUGCAGGAGUUUACUACUGUCAGCAGGGUAACAGCUUCCCGUUCACACAGUGAUACAACGUCGUACAAAAAC
This is a non-coding RNA of Lates calcarifer (barramundi perch), 448 nucleotides long. Lineage: Eukaryota; Metazoa; Chordata; Actinopteri; Centropomidae. The record is from the annotation of a RefSeq genome assembly.